RNAcentral lists this unclassified non-coding RNA (228 nucleotides) under Hevea brasiliensis (rubber tree). Lineage: Eukaryota; Viridiplantae; Streptophyta; Magnoliopsida; Malpighiales; Euphorbiaceae. The record is from RNAcentral.
UUAAGGUUUAAUAGUUUUUUGGCAUUGUAUUAGAGCCUCUCAGACCAAAAAGUCCCAAAUUCGAAUCCUAAUUACCUUCAUUCAUUAAUUAAACAUUUUAGCACAAGGUAAAGUAGGUAUGUGUUUGUUCAUGCUCCUAGCCUAGUGAACAUUCACGUAUGGGAAUGUGUUAGAGAAAUAAAACUAUUUUUGUGACUUUUACCCAUAAGUUUGAGCUUUUAGGUUGAG